This 74-nucleotide transfer RNA is filed under the name Brachystegia kennedyi. Its description in RNAcentral is "tRNA-Thr". The stretch from base 1 to 56 matches the Rfam family "tRNA", at positions 17 to 71 of the family's 71-position model. From Rfam's summary of the family: Transfer RNA (tRNA) molecules are approximately 80 nucleotides in length. Their secondary structure includes four short double-helical elements and three loops (D, anti-codon, and T loops). Lineage: Eukaryota; Viridiplantae; Streptophyta; Magnoliopsida; Fabales; Fabaceae. The record is from RNAcentral.
GGUAGAGUAACGCCAUGGUAAGGCGUAAGUCAUCGGUUCAAAUCCGAUAAGGGGCUUUUUUGCAUAAAAACCCA